Molecule: ribosomal RNA, 430 nt
Filed under: uncultured bacterium
Lineage: Bacteria
Description: bacterial SSU rRNA
Rfam family: Bacterial small subunit ribosomal RNA
Source: RNAcentral
UAGGGAAUUUUCGUCAAUGGGGGGAACCCUGAACGAGCAAUGCCGCGUGAGUGAGGAAGGUCUUCGGAUCGUAAAGCUCUGUUGUAAGAGAAAAACGGCACUCAUAGGGAAUGAUGAGUGAGUGAUGGUAUCUUACCAGAAAGUCACGGCUAACUACGUGCCAGCAGCCGCGGUAAUACGUAGGUGGCGAGCGUUAUCCGGAAUGAUUGGGCGUAAAGGGUGCGUAGGUGGCAGAUCAAGUCUGGAGUAAAAGGUAUGGGCUCAACCCGUACUGGCUCUGGAAACUGAUCCGCUAGAGAACAGAAGAGGACGGCGGAACUCCAUGUGUAGCGGUAAAAUGCGUAGAUAUAUGGAAGAACACCGGUGGCGAAGGCGGCCGUCUGGUCUGGAUUCUGACACUGAAGCACGAAAGCGUGGGGAGCAAAUAGGA